UGCACCGCUAGUCUAAUGGUUAGGAUAUCUGCUAUCCAAGCAGAUGGUCCGAGUUCGAUUCCCGGGCGUGCAG
This 73-nucleotide transfer RNA is filed under the name Perkinsus marinus ATCC 50983. Its description in RNAcentral is "tRNA-Gly". It matches the Rfam family "tRNA". From Rfam's summary of the family: Transfer RNA (tRNA) molecules are approximately 80 nucleotides in length. Their secondary structure includes four short double-helical elements and three loops (D, anti-codon, and T loops). The record is from RNAcentral. Lineage: Eukaryota; Perkinsozoa; Perkinsida; Perkinsidae.